CUUCAGCGAACCGAGCAGCAGCGGCCGGGCGGCGCUGUGGUCCCGGCCGUAGGUGGCCAGGAGCGCCUGGGCCUC
Molecule: antisense RNA, 75 nt
Rfam family: ASpks TB sRNA